This is a non-coding RNA of Cricetulus griseus (Chinese hamster), 432 nucleotides long. NCBI's taxonomy places the organism in Eukaryota, Metazoa, Chordata, Mammalia, Rodentia, Cricetidae. The record is from the annotation of a RefSeq genome assembly.
CUCACCAUGGGAUGGAGCUGGAUCAUCCUCUUCCUGGUGACAGCAGCUACAGGUGUCCACUCCCAGGUCCAGCUGCAGCAGUCUGAGGCUGAGCUGGUGAAGCCUGGUGCCUCAGCGAAGGUGUCCUGCAAGGCUUCAGGCUACACCUUCUCUUAUAAUUAUAUGUACUGGGUGAAGCAGAAGCCUGGACAGGGCCUGGAGUGGAUUGGAUAUGUUUAUCCUGAUAAUGGUGAUACUCAGUACAACCAGAAGUUCAAGGGGAAGGCCACACUGACUGCAGACAAAUCCUCCAGCACAGCCUACAUGGAGCUCAGCAGCCUGACAUCUGAGGACUCUGCUGUCUAUUACUGUGCGAGAGACACAGUGUUACAACCACAUCCUGAGUGUGUCAGAAACCCUGGAGGAGCAGGAAGCUGCCCGGGACUGAGAUGA